UACGAAGGGGGCUAGCGUUGCUCGGAAUCACUGGGUGUAAAGGGUUCGUAGGCGGUGCGGCAAGUUGGGAGUGAAAUCUCUGGGCUUAACCCAGAGGCUGCUUCCAAAACUGCUGUGCUUGAGUGUGGGAGAGGCGCGUGGAAUUGCAGGUGUAGCGGUGAAAUGCGUAGAUAUCUGCAGGAACACCCGUGGCGAAAGCGGCGCGCUGGACCACUACUGACGCUGAGGAACGAAAGCUAGGGGAGCAAACAGG
Molecule: ribosomal RNA, 253 nt
Filed under: uncultured bacterium
Lineage: Bacteria
Description: partial 16S ribosomal RNA
Rfam family: Bacterial small subunit ribosomal RNA
Source: RNAcentral